GAUGAACGCUGGCGGCGUGCUUAACACAUGCAAGUCGAACGGAAAGGCUCCUGCUUGCAGGGGUACUCGAGUGGCGAACGGGUGAGUAACACGUGGGUGAUCUGCCCUGCACUUCGGGAUAAGCUUGGGAAACUGGGUCUAAUACCGGAUAGGACCGCAUUUUGGAUGGUGUGGUGGAAAGUUUUUUCGGUGUGGGAUGAGCUCGCGGCCUAUCAGCUUGUUGGUGGGGUAAUGGCCUACCAAGGCGUCGACGGGUAGCCGGCCUGGGAGGGUGGACGGCCACAUUGGGACUGAGAUACGGCCCAGACUCCUACGGGAGGCAGCAGUGGGGAAUAUUGCACAAUGGGCGCAAGCCUGAUGCAGCGACGCCGCGUGGGGGAUGACGGCCUUCGGGUUGUAAACUCCUUUCGCUAGGGACGAAGAGUAAUUGACGGUACCUGGAGAAGAAGCACCGGCUAACUACGUG
RNAcentral lists this ribosomal RNA (466 nucleotides) under uncultured bacterium. RNAcentral describes it as "partial 16S ribosomal RNA". It matches the Rfam family "Bacterial small subunit ribosomal RNA", at positions 28 to 507 of the family's 1533-position model. The record is from RNAcentral.